AUUCCAGCUCCAAUAGCGUAUAUUUAAGUUGUUGCAGUUAAAAAGCUCGUAGUUGGAUUUUGGGUGCGGCAGGCCGGUCCGCCCUUUGGGUGUGCACUGGCAGGCGGCAUCUUUCUGCCGAGGGCGCGCGUCUGGCCUUUACUGGUCGGGCCGCGGAGUCGGCGCAGUUACUUUGAAAAAAUUAGAGUGUUCAAAGCGGGCCUACGCUUGAAUAUAUUAGCAUGGAAUAACACCAUAGGACUCCUGUCCUAUUCUGUUGGUCUUCGGGAUGGGAGUAAUGAUUAAGAGGAACAGUUGGGGGCAUUCGUAUUUCAUUGUCAGAGGUGAAAUUCUUGGAUUUAUGAAAGACGAACUUCUGCGAAAGCAUUUGCCAAGGAUGUUUUCAUCG
This 388-nucleotide ribosomal RNA is filed under the name Dolichomastigaceae sp. Its description in RNAcentral is "partial small subunit ribosomal RNA". It matches the Rfam family "Eukaryotic small subunit ribosomal RNA", at positions 582 to 975 of the family's 1831-position model. Lineage: Eukaryota; Viridiplantae; Chlorophyta; Mamiellophyceae; Dolichomastigales; Dolichomastigaceae. The record is from RNAcentral.